RNAcentral lists this ribosomal RNA (429 nucleotides) under uncultured Lactobacillus sp. RNAcentral's name for it is "bacterial SSU rRNA". It matches the Rfam family "Bacterial small subunit ribosomal RNA", at positions 355 to 776 of the family's 1533-position model. Lineage: Bacteria; Bacillati; Bacillota; Bacilli; Lactobacillales; Lactobacillaceae. The record is from RNAcentral.
UAGGGAAUCUUCCACAAUGGACGCAAGUCUGAUGGAGCAACGCCGCGUGAGUGAAGAAGGUUUUCGGAUCGUAAAGCUCUGUUGUUGGUGAAGAAGGAUAGAGGUAGUAACUGGCCUUUAUUUGACGGUAAUCAACCAGAAAGUCACGGCUAACUACGUGCCAGCAGCCGCGGUAAUACGUAGGUGGCAAGCGUUGUCCGGAUUUAUUGGGCGUAAAGCGAGUGCAGGCGGCUCGAUAAGUCUGAUGUGAAAGCCUUCGGCUCAACCGGAGAAUUGCAUCAGAAACUGUCGAGCUUGAGUGCAGAAGAGGAGAGUGGAACUCCAUGUGUAGCGGUGGAAUGCGUAGAUAUAUGGAAGAACACCAGUGGCGAAGGCGGCUCUCUGGUCUGCAACUGACGCUGAGGCUCGAAAGCAUGGGUAGUGAACAGG